ACGAACGCUGGCGGCGUGCCUAACACAUGCAAGUCGAGCGGAGAUGCCAAGGAGCAAUCCAAGGUGUCUUAGCGGCGGACGGGUGAGUAACACGUGGGUAACCUACCCCCAAGGAGGGGGAUAACAGGUCGAAAGGCCUGCUAAUACCGCAUAAAGCUUAUGUAUCGCAUGAUACAUAAGCCAAAGGAGGAAUCCGCCUUGGGAUGGGCCCGCGGCCCAUUAGCUAGUUGGUGAGGUAACGGCUCACCAAGGCGACGAUGGGUAGCCGGCCUGAGAGGGUGGUCGGCCACACUGGGACUGAGACACGGCCCAGACUCCUACGGGAGGCAGCAGUGGGGAAUAUUGCGCAAUGGGGGAAACCCUGACGCAGCGACGCCGCGGGAGCGAAGAAGGCCUUCGGGUUGUAAAGCUCUGUCUUCCCUGACGAAGAAAGUGACGGUAAGGGAGGAGGAAGCCACGGCUAACUACGUGCCAGCAGCCGCGGUAAUACGUAGGUGGCGAGCGUUGUCCGGAAUUACUGGGCGUAAAGGGUGCGUAGGCGGCUCCUUAAGUGAGGUGUGAAAUCCCUGGGCUCAACCCAGGAACUGCACUUCAAACUGGGGAGCUAGAGUGCAGGAGAGGAAAGCGGAAUUCCCGGUGUAGCGGUGAAAUGCGUAGAGAUCGGGAGGAACACCAGUGGCGAAGGCGGCUUUCUGGACUGUAACUGACGCUGAGGCACGAAAGCGUGGGGGAGCAAACAGGAUUAGAUACCCUGGUAGUCCACGCUGUAAACGAUGAGUGCUAGGUGUGGGAGGCGUAGCCUUCCGUGCCGCAGUUAACA
Molecule: ribosomal RNA, 820 nt
Filed under: uncultured bacterium
Lineage: Bacteria
Description: bacterial SSU rRNA
Rfam family: Bacterial small subunit ribosomal RNA
Source: RNAcentral